This 226-nucleotide ribosomal RNA is filed under the name uncultured Actinomycetales bacterium. Its description in RNAcentral is "partial 16S ribosomal RNA". It matches the Rfam family "Bacterial small subunit ribosomal RNA", at positions 104 to 334 of the family's 1533-position model. Lineage: Bacteria; Bacillati; Actinomycetota; Actinomycetes; Actinomycetales. The record is from RNAcentral.
GGGUGAGUAACACGUGGGUGAUCUGCCCUGCACUCUGGGAUAAGCCUGGGAAACUGGGUCUAAUACCGGAUAGGACCAUGCUUUAGUGUGUGUGGUGGAAAGUUUUUCGGUGUAGGAUGAGCCCGCGGCCUAUCAGCUUGUUGGUGGGGUAAUGGCCUACCAAGGCGGCGACGGGUAGCCGGACUGAGAGGUUGGUCGGCCACAUUGGGACUGAGAUACGGCCCAG